UUAUACGAUUAUAGAGUUCUUCCUGUCCUUACCUUUCAGAGUAUGUUCUUUCGCAUUGUUAAUUAACUGUUACAUUUCACUCUUGUGCAACUUCCUUCCUGGCAGUCUUGUGGUGAUAUUUAACAAGGCAGAGAGAAUUACGUUAGGAUCUACAAUUACCUGCAUAUGCUCAUUCCAAAAUCCAGGUUAAUUAUCUGGCAGAUUGCUAUCAAGAUAAUGCAAGACCCUCCUGAAAAAAGAAGCCAGUUUCUAGGCCAAAUAGAAAUUGCCUCUAUUAUUGUUACUAUUUUUCAAAACAAUGUAGUUCCUGACCCAUUCGUUUCUCUGUCCUCCCUUCCCUCUUUUCUCCAUUUUGCCGCCUUGCACUGACCUCAGUACCUGUGUCAUCUGGCUCCUGACCAUGGGUCUGACUUCAGGCUACUUCUAGGAAUGAUGCCUAAUUUUUGUCUUUCUCUCCCUAUGCAGCUCGCGUUCAGGUGGCCCAUGUCUGGGCCCUCUCAUCAUUAGUUCUCCAGUCUUGGAUUCCUAAAGUGCUGGCUCUGUCACCCACAGGACUUGAUGACAGCUGCUCAGAAGACCCUAACCCAGCAGGGUAUGUGUCCAUUUCUCUACUACAGAGCACUGGGAAGAUGACUGGCCCUAUACCUGAGGAUCUCUCUCAGGGAUUUUAGUUUCUCUUCUGGAACAUUCUGUGUCAGCAAGUCUCAGCUUGCCUCCUCUUGAACGGACUGAGGCCACUAGGAACAGUUUGGCUUUGUCCUCUUUUCUUCCCAUCAUGACAGUUUUAGGAUUGCCUCCUUCUGUUAUUUCUUCUUGCUUUCAUCAGUGUAGUCCUUCCAAAAUAGAAUCAGCAAAUUUGGGGGUGGUGGGGGGAGAGUGGAUGGAGAAGCAGAAGGGAAAGAUUUCUUGUUACACUUACUUGAAAGAGAAAAAUCGAGGACACCAGUACACAAAAUAAGGAAGUUACUGAGAUCUAUGUAUAGCCUUAACCCUGCCUCCCUAUGAAGCUUUUCUGUUUGUUUUGUUUUUGCUAUGUCUUAUAAUUAAGACUUUAAAAAAAACUUUCUGUUUUAUUUUAAAGAGAAAAAAACAGACAAAUCGAGAAGCAAACAAACCUAUAAAGCAACAACAAAACAACAAUAGCUAUAUGGUUUUCAGAACAAGAUGACAGGAACUUAACCAGGUUGUUCUAGUGCAUAUUGUUAUCUUCAAAAUAGUCAUCUUGUUACCAGAUUCUGGAAUGAAGCAAAACAGUAAAAUAGAGUAAAACACUGGAUUUCAAAAAUAAGACAUAAGAAAAUCCCCCACAGUUGCCACAUGCACCCUGCCAUCCUCCAAACAGAUGUCCAGACCACCAGCCCCAGGCCUGCAAAGUCAAUCAAACAACACCAGCAUCAAGCUAUUCCUUUCACCUUAGUUGCUCUCAUCUCACUCUGAACUCUCUGAAUCACCCAGUUGCUUCCUGGUGGCGGUCGUGGUAGUGGCGGUCGUGGUAGCGGCGGUCGUGGUAGCGGCGGUCGUGGUAGCGGGUGGCAGUAGAGUGGUCUUCUAGUUUCCCCGCCCGUGCAUCACAGGAAGGCAUGAUUUAUCUUCUUGCUGAGUCUUCCUGAUCCCAUGCUGGAACCUGGCUCCAGGGAAGGCAUCAGUAGACUUUGUUUUUAGAAAAUGUUUAGGGUUAUAGAACAUUGAAGAGAUAUUAAAGAACAUUCUUUUAUUUCUUCUCUACACACUCUAUGAGGUUUUAAGUACUCAUUUUGGAAUUCAAUAACUCUUGGAAGAAUAAAUUCAAUCUUGCAAACAUGUACAACAUUCCUAACCUGCUGAGCUACUGAGAGAUGUGCAAGGAAAUUAGUAAAAUCAGCAUUCCAAGCAGGUCCUUGCUCAUCUUGGCCCACAGUUUAUAUGUAAAGGCGUGUUACCAAAGUACCAAUUACAGGACACCUUCCAUCAUUCUGAUAAAAGGCACAAACAGUGCAAGUGUUCACUUUCUAGUUCAAUUUUUUUUUUUUUUUUUAGUUUACAAGAUCUAGUAUAAUUGAAUAAAACUACAGUAUCUAGAAGUUUCCAUUUGCCUAUCUCAUUUGCAGUUGCUUCUGUUCUGGGUUCCUAUGCUAGUCUAGACCAUUUGUCCAGAACCACAAAUUGGUUUUUAAAAGCUCUCUGUGGUUGAAGUACGAGAGCACAGUGGGAACUCUAUUAACUAUGUGUGUGGUUUCAUUUUUCUGCAGUUAAAUCCCUAAUGCUUUUAAAGGGUCAGCAAAUUUGAAGUCCUCCCUAAUGAUCUAGUAAUGGUUGAAAUAGUUUGUUGAAAAGGUUGUAAAUAUUUGUUGAUUGACUGUUGACAGAGCAAAAGGCUUUUACUCCUCCGCAGGGGCAGAGAGGAGCGGAAGAGAGGAAGCUUUUACACACCCAUUUCAAUUCAGCAGGUUUUAUUGCUUAUGCUUUGGGUUUUAGACAUACAUUUCAAAAGCAGACUUUUCAUUUCUUCAAAAACCAAAAAUUUAGGAAACGCAGUUUUAUGUUUAAGUUUCACUAUAUACCACAGGUAAAUGUAGAAAUGGUUACCGACUUGGACACAGCUAAGUACAGUUCUUCAUGAAUAACAACUCACUUUUAUUUUCAAUCCACUGGAAGGAGGUAGUGUAGGUGGAGCAGGCAGCUGUUGAUGUCAAGAGAUCUGAGCAUUACUAAGAGACUUGCCUGCGCAAAAAUAUCUUCCCUCUGGUAGUAUCAUAGAUACUGAAAGGCAGCCAGAUACUGGAGCUUCUCUUCUGGAGAAAGGCAUUGUCUACUCUUGAUGACAUUUGUUACUUGGGAAAAGUAACUGUUAAUAUGUUAGGAAAAUUGUGUUUGUGUGUGUGUGUGUAUGAGUGUGUGUGUGUGUGUGUGUGUGUGUGUGUACAUGUGAACUUUGCAUUUUGAUUUCAUGGUAGAUUUACAUGUAGUUGAAAAGCAUAACAUUGAAAGACUCCUUCUAUCUUCCGCUUAGUUUCUCCAUCUUUCAUAAUUGUAGUACAGCAUCCCAACCAGGAAGGUGGCAUGGAUAUAGUAUGAAAUCUUUAUUCAGAUUUACUCAGUUCUAUGUAUAGUGUGUCCUCUCUGUCUGUCUCCCUCUGCCUCUCCUUUCCUCUCUUUGCCUGGCAUUUUAAAGGUUGCCUUUCUCUUUUGUUUUUAAUAGAUCAUCCCCUCUGUGCCCUGUCCAACAAAUUCAUUUUGGUCAAUGUUAUGUUUAACUCAGUGCUUUAAAAAAGCUUUUCCAUAGACCCCUUUUUGGUUGCUGUGGUCUGAAUGCUGGUGUUCCUUACAAAUGCAUACUCCCUACUGUGAUAGCAUGAAGAUGGAGACAACCUUUUUGGAGCUCUGUGCUUGCCAUACCCUGGUCUUUUUCAUGCCUCUCUUUCAAACUGUAUAGCAGAUGACCUUAGAUUUUUGAUCAUCUACUUAGAGACUUAAGAGUAAGAUAAUCCAUUACUUUUAAAACCCAGUACAACUCGACAGUAUUACAUUAGAGCAGUAAAAUCUUGUGGCAGAUUAUCGUUUCCCAAAAUGGCCAUAGCAGCACAUCUCUUAUUACAUGCUUUUUCAGAACUAGGCUACUUUACACCAAGAGAUAGAAUUUAUUUUCCUUCUGCUUGCUGGGCUUGUGACUUCUCCAUCCAGCAGAGGGUCCCAGAAGUGGUGUUGUGUGACUGGAGGCUAGGUCACAGAGAGGCUACAGCUUCCGCUGGGCUCUCGUCUGGAAUGCAGCCACAGCAUUUUGAAGAAGCCCAGGUCACAGAGACAGGCCACAUACAUAUGUUUCAGUCAGCAGCUCCAUUAGGUUCCCAGCUGAUGGCUCAUUUUCAUUGUGAGUGAAUGAGCCUUCAGAGGACGCCUGCUUCCAGCCUUCAAUUAUUUAGUGUCAGACAUCUUGGAACAGAUUCAAACCAUCCCCUCUGUGCCCUGUCCAACAAAUUCCUGACCUACAGAUACAAGAGCAUAAUAAAUGGUUGUUUACACUG
Cavia porcellus (domestic guinea pig) is the source of this 4001-nucleotide long non-coding RNA. RefSeq lists it as uncharacterized. The transcript is spliced from 2 exons. Lineage: Eukaryota; Metazoa; Chordata; Mammalia; Rodentia; Caviidae. The record is from RefSeq and is a predicted model, not a curated record.